CCAUCGGACCUCACUCGUCGAAAGAAGCCAGUCAGAGAAGAAGGUGGGCUACUGCCGAUUGUGUGGUUAUAGAAGAAACCAAAUCUCAAUGUUGAGAGUGAAUUUUCCAAAAGUGAAAAACUGCUUGCGAAUUCGCUGAUUCGUGGCCGAUUGAUUCAGAAAACGAUACACAGUGUUUUGUGGAGCAGUUGCACUACACGAAUUUACUUACAGAUUUGUGGUGUAUUAGACAUAAAGUAAAAAAAAGAACGGAACGCGCGAGUGUGAAUGGUGUAAUUUGGGAUCAGAAAACAGACAAAAGUGAUUGCCUGAUCUCUGCAGUAUCUGUGUGGUGUUGAAAAAGAAGAGGAAAAACAAUACAGAAGAGGAGAAGAAUCAGUAGAUUGAAGUAUAUUGGUGGUUGGAAACCGCUCAGAUAUAGACGAAAACGGCGACGUAAACAUUACAUACAUAAUAAUUGCGUUAAAUUUGAGUUUCAACAUAAAAAACUGAGUUCGCCAUCUUUGACUGGCGCCAACUGAAACAUCGUUUCAACAUGCAAUAUUAACAUGUUUGGUGCAUAUUCAACAAUUUUACAUUAAAGGCUCACAUGCUACAGAGUGACUCACAGAGUGUAGUGAACAAGUGAGCUCAGACUGGGCAAGUGGAUUUUCGGCACAAGCAUGAAAGGUUACAACUUGGAUGGGUCAGGCGCCAGCAAAUGUUGGUGGACAUAACCUAAUAAGUGAAUCAACAUAAUAUCGGCUCGUACAUUUUUCAUUGAGAGUAAGAAAAUAAACAUUUUCUCUCUGGUUCUGCAAUCCGUACGAAACGCCAGACGCAGCCAUACCGAAAUAGGAAAAAGCACCCCACUAAUACAAGGAAGAAGCAACUGACACUCUCGUGGCUUCCGGAAUUAGACGGCCGGUUCCACCGGUUGCCUGUUUCCUAUUCGUACCAAUUAAGACUGAAAAAUGGCACAUUUCGAACCAGGUCGGGUCUGUAUUGACACUGGUGCGAAUCGUCACUCAUCGUCAUCGCAGCAAGUAACAGUAGCCAGCGGAACUAGCCAAGUGGACGAAAAUCACCAGAACCAGGCGCGGCUGUUGUAGUCCAUGUUGUAGUUAAAUAAGUGUUAGGGAGAAAUACACCGAAUGUGGCUGUUUUUUUUGCUCAGUGUUCUGCUUGUGUUGAAGUAGGUUCCUUUUGAGUGAUUUCUUUAUGUCUCAAUUGUGCUUGUUGUGGCACUCUUUGAAGUCAAUUCGUAAAAAUAUAAGCUUCGUAUAUCAGUGCAUGUGGAAGAAUAUAGUUAAGAAAGAUGAAGUUAGCAAGUAAAUAUGAGUGAGCAUGAAUAUGUAUUGAAGGAAGUAGAAUGUAAGCCAAAAGUGUAGUGUAAAAAAGAAGCGAAACAAAACAACAACAGCAAGAAAAAAAACGCAAUUUAGCAAAGUGCAUGUAGGAAGCAGAAAGAAAAUUGUGCAAAUAGUUCCCGCGAAGCGGAAAGGUGUCUGCUCUCGGAAGCAGACGAAGCUGACGGUCAAAAGUGAGUGAGUGAUCAAUUCGACGACGAGCCAGCAAAUAGAUUUUGCGAAAAAUGUCUUUCCUCAACAACCUUAAAAAGGUCUUCCACCUUGGCGGUGGGGAGGCCAAGAAAAAGCGCAUCUUCAAUAACAUCCGGAUGGACACAGACCCGAAUGAUUUCUGGGAUAUGAUUGGUGAGCUGGGGGAUGGAGCAUUCGGAAAAGUAUACAAGGCCAUCAAUAAGGAAACCAAACAGCUGGCAGCAGCUAAAAUGUGCACCCUCGAAGACGAAGAAAACCUGAGCGAUCAUAUGGUCGAGAUUGAUAUUCUGUCGGAAAUCAAGCAUCCGAAUAUCGUGGAGCUAUACGAGGCCUUCUCGAUCGAUGAUAAGUUGUGGAUGCUGAUCGAGUACUGUGAUGGUGGUGCCUUAGAUAGUAUUAUGGUGGAACUGGAGAAACCUUUGACUGAGCCCCAGAUUGCCUACGUUUGCAAGCACAUGGUUGCCGGGUUGUAUCACUUACACAAAAACAAGGUGAUACACCGCGAUCUGAAAGCCGGCAACGUGCUACUAACGAUGGACGGUGGCGUCAAGCUGGCGGAUUUUGGUGUUUCUGCGAAAAAUAAGCACACACUGCAGAAACAUGAUACCUUUAUCGGCACACCGUACUGGAUGGCUCCGGAACUGGUGCUAUGUGAAACGUUUCGCGACAAUCCGUAUGAUUUCAAGGUGGACAUUUGGUCACUCGGUAUCACAUUGAUUGAGUUUGCCCAGAUGGAACCACCCAACAGUGAGAUGUCCCCAAUGCGAGUUUUGCUCAAAAUUCAGAAAAGUGAUCCUCCGAAACUCGAUCAACCCUCCAAAUGGUCUAAAAGUUUCAACGAGUUUCUUGCCAAGGCACUGGUCAAGGAUCCUCAACAGAGGCCUUCUACGGAUAUUCUAAUGGGUUUAUCAUUUAUCAGUGGUAAUCUGGAUUCCAAACCAAUUAAGGAUCUAUUACUGGAGUAUAAAGCAGACGUUGUGGAAGAAGAAUUGGUGGACGAAGAAGCGGAGAAGGCAAAAAGACAGGCGAAGCGUAGAUCGCUUUAUCAGAGGGAACCCCGCAGUUCUGCGCUCCCGCUCGACUUGGACGAUGACUCAUCAUCGUUGCAAAGUCAAGAAACCUAUAAACUUCCAGAUACUCCCACAUCCUUAUCGAAAUCAUCCAGAGAUUCUAAAGAGUCGACACCUGUUCCGGCUGAAGAUGAUAGUAAUGCAAAACCAGCAACAGUUGGAACAACAGCAGCAGCUGCCACUACCACCACUUCGCCAGUGCAAACGCCACCGGCUGUUUCAAGCUCAGCUCCCAGUUCAAAACCAACACCAUCAGUUGCAACGUCUCCUUCAGCCGCGACGAGUGACAGUAAUAGUAAUGUACAAAGCGAUGCUAAGAAGUCACCAACUUCGGUUCCAGCGCCAGUAUUACCACCAGCUAAUGCACAACGUUUCUCGAAAGAGGAUGCGGAACCUGCGGAAAGCACGACUAACACAAGUGGUGCUAGCAGCAGUAGCAGUAGCAUAGAAGUUGAGAAAAAAGGUGUCAUUAAGAAGGAAAAAGGGCCGGCUCCUCCGCCGCCUCAAACUCCAUCAUCGCCAAGUAGUCGAAGCGCUCCGACCAGUGUUGGGGUCAGCACGACAGUUCAAACUACUGUUCCUCCUACACCACCGGAGACUCCACAAACUCCGGCCAACAGAGGCGUUGACCGCCCUGAUAAUUUUGUGAUUUCAAAAACACCAUCUUCACCCGUGACAAUAGAUCGUCAGUUGAGUAGCGAUGAAUUAAUCAAAUCUCCCAAGAAAGAGCAUGCACCUUCCCCUCCGAAGCCAUUUUCGAAGGACAGCCCUGCUGCAUCACCACAACCUCACGACGAAUCGUUCAAUCGACGAUUCAUGACCGAAGAAUUGCAUGGCGAAGAGUCUCCAUCGCGGACUGAAUCGCCUUAUCCCAAAGAACAACAACCAGUAAACACAACCGUUGCCAUUCCAAAACCAAUGCUUCCUCCAUUCGAUGAUGAACAAUUGCAGUACCCUCCCCACAUGAUUCCUCCGCCGCUCUUGCCGGAUGAUGAUAUUCGAAUAACAUCAACACCGAACAGCAAGCAAACCAACACAAAUAAUACGUCGAUGAUCACAAUCAACAACGAUACCGUACUAGCGGAUCCGUCCAACAGUCUUGCCACUAACGUUAGCCAAAUCACCGUUGUCACUAGCCAUCCGCCAGUGAUAAUCGACAAUUCCGUCGUUCCUUCCGGUUCUUCGUCGUCCGCUUCUUCGACGAAAUCAUUUGGGUCCUCGCAGCGAAGAUCACGUGUCAUUUCGCCAAAGGGUAGCGACGAAGUUGUUAUUGUUUCCAAUGAGUUAAAUAAAACCCAUGUCAACGAAUCGUCUACGGAUGAUGAUUUCCAGUCGCUGGAUAGCCUGGAGAACCUUUCGCCCAAAUACAGAAAGCAACAGCAGCAACAAUCGAGUGGUGGCCAAAUUGCACGUAAACUGGACGAAAGUGAGGUGCUGAUCGUUAGUCCGAGUUUUAUCGGCGAAGGUCAGGAGGAACAGCAGGAGCAGGACGAUUUUAUCAACGAUGAGCUGUUUAUAGGUAAUAGUACUAAUCAUAGUAACAGUAAAUUAUUGGACACUAGUCAUGUUUCGGUGGUCACCGUUGGAGAAGAGGAAAUCAAGGUGAAGGACUCUUCGCACCACGCGCAUCUAAUAAACAGCGGUACCAGCCAUCUUCACUUGCAUCAGCAGCAGCAGCAGCAGUCGCAUGUGUUGAACCAUCAUCACGAUUCGAUUAGUGACCUAUCGAAUGUCAGUUGUGGCCCUAGCGAAUCCAGCGAUGAUGUUAAGGUAAUGGAUGUUAUUUUAACCCAUCAGGGGGCUGGAACUACCAGUACUAGUAGUGUAAGCACAGGCAGCACGGUAACAACCGCCGGUGGUUUUGCUCAACGGUCUCCAUCGGGCUCAUCGAUUUCAUCGCCACUGCGAAGUGGUUCUAGUAAUAAGUUAAACGGAGACUUCAACCGGAGUCGGGAAGAUGUCAGUAUCAUAGUGAAUAAGCGUAAGAUUAUAGAAAAGCAAAGGAUUUCGCCCGAUAGCAGCGUCGGAUCGAUGGAUGGUGGCGGUUCGGUACGAUCGGCAAGUACCCCAUUACAACACCAUCAACAGCAACCGCAGCAGAAUGCAACUGGUGCUAAACUGUUGGAUCGAAGUGAUGCUGAAAGCAUAGCCACUACAACUAGUCACGACAGCCGAGAACAGUCUGUGGAUGAAGAAGUACAGCUGCGUCGGAAACCACCAGUGGUCGAUAUGGAGGAGGACAAAGUUCCGCCUAUUGUUAGCAAUACUAGAACAAAACCUAGCCAACGAAACUUCAGUAAGGAAGAGAUUCACAUUCAAAACCUUAAGAAGAAAACGCGCAAACGAACACGAAAGUUCGAGAUUGAUGGAGUUCAGGUUACGACCACUACCAGCAAGGUCAUUUACAGUGAUGAAGAUAGCAACAAGCUGUAUGAUGAUCACUUGUUCCGCAAACAGGAACUGAGAGAACUGAAAAUGCUUCAGAAACAAGAGAAAAAACAAUUUUAUGAACUUCAGCAAAAGGAAUCGAUUGCCAAAGAGCAGCAGGAGAAGAAGUUCGAACAGGAACGGUUACAACUGGAGCGUACAUUUGAGGCUGAUAUGGAUGUGCUGGCACGGCAGCAUCGACAAACUGUGGAAAAGUACGAGCAACAACAAGAGACUGAACUUAGGAAUACAUCGAAAAAGAUUCGAGCCGAGCAGGAACGUGAUUUAAAACUGUUUCGGGACAGCCUCAAGCAGGAAAUUCGUCUGCUCAAACAAGAAGUGGAUCUACUACCAAAGGAGAAACGAAAAGAUGAAUUCCGAAAACGAAAAACGGCGAUGGAACUAGAGCACGAGGAACGUGAAAAGAGCUUCUUAGCCACUUUGUCGGAGAACCAUGAACUGGCCUUGCGGAGGAUCAGUGAAAUAUAUCGAGAAAAACUGUCCGCUGCUGAUAAGGGCUACCUACAGCAGAAACAGACGGCUAUGCGAACCCGUGAGGCUAUGCUCUGGGAACUGGAGGAAAAACACAUUCACGAUAAACAUCAACUGGCGAAACGGCACGUGAAGGACAUUUGCUUCAUGCAGCGACAUCAAAUGAUCAUCCGUCACGAGAAAGAGUUAGAUCAAAUUAAAAGAAUGAUUUCCCGGAAGGAGGAAGAACUGCUGAAACGGCAGACUAUUGAAAAACGCGCUCUGCCAAAGCGGAUUCGAGCCGAACGGAAAGCUCGAGACAUGAUGUUCCGCGAAUCGUUACGUAUAUCAAUGACGACUGAUCCGGAGCUGGAGCGAGAAAAAUUGAAAAAGUUCCAAGAGCAGGAGAAGAAACGCUACAAUCAAGAGCAGAUACGUUUCGAAACCAAGCACAGCAAACAGUUGGAAGAAUUGAGAGCUACCUCAGAUGGUUCCAUAAGAGAACUCGAACAGUUACAAAACGAAAAACGCAAGCAACUGCUGGAACAUGAAACCGCCAAACUGCGCGAAUGUGAUGAGGCACUGCAGAAAGAGCUGCGAGAAUGGAAAUCUCAGCUUCUACCCAGGAAACAGACUGUGCAAGAAGACCUCGACUGGAUGGUGACCGAAUACGCGAAAAAAUGGGGUCCUGUAGAUCGGCGUGAUUUCGAUGGAGAAUUUGUAGUUCCGCCUGAAAUUCGGAAUCGAACCAAUUCUUUGAACACCCGUUCCCUGCGCUUGCAUGGCGGCUUGCUAAAUAUUUCCCGUUCUCGCACCUUCCUUACACUACCGGUUGCCAACGGGCGAAACAGUAUACACAGUUCGGUACCAGAUUUGAGUCGCUCCGUUCCCAAUACACCUAACACAGCACAUAAACUCUCCAUUGCUUCGUCUUACGAUUCGGUACUGGAAGAGAAUGAAAAUGAAAAUUUGCCUGUACACCAUCGUCCCGUCCCCGGAGAAAAUCAAUCUGCUAUAAAAUAUCUUUUCACUGAUGACGGAGUACACAUGCGAAGAAAAUCGGAAGACUUGCUGUCCGGCAGAAGAACUAAAAACCCAUAUAAAAAUGAUGCUAGAUAUCAUCAAGAUCAUGUUAGUAGAACCCGUCAUAUGCCCAGUAUGCCACCACUUCAAAGCCAUUAUCGACAAAGUUCCGAGCCAAACAAUCGCAUCGUACCAAUCCGUGUCAAUCCGGUUAAAAAACCGGCAAGUAUUUUGGAAGGGAUAACUAAUCGGUCCUCCAUAAGUACCGCUCAGCAUUCAGGUGCUACUUUGCCCCGUUCUGGAGCGGGAUGGGGAAACAGUCGUCUAGGUACCACCACCACCUUUCCCUCGGAUGCCAGCGUGAAUAAGCUGACGACAUUCAGUUCUGCUAAAGGUGGACUUCCUCUACAAUCAGUAGCUCAGAAUCAAAAUUGCGAAAGUGCAUUGUAUCGUGAUAGAAAGUCUUCUUCGGGUUUGAAACUUUCACCAUCCACACCACUACUCUUGUCUCCGAGUGCGGACUCGGGUAGAAAAGAUUCGGUUGCAUAGACUAUUGUAUCAGAUAGAAUUCCCCGCUAGUGUUAGUUAGUCUAGUAAAAAUUUUCUCUUAGUACAACUGAUACAUUCAUGGAAGUUUCAUUUCCAGCUGGACUUUAUCUAGGUUCUGAAACUGUGUAUACGUGUUUUCCGACUUUCAAUGAUCUUCCUUCUAGCAAAAUAUUGUUCAAAUAAUCGAAAGUUGCAAAACAUAAAUGAAUAACACUAGAACUAUCGCACAUCUCUGCACUGUUUCCCAUAUACUACUCGUUCUACUGCGUUUAAACUAAUAUUUGCUACUCUAACACGAAAAGAGGAACAAUGGUAAUACAUGCACAUUAGCCGAUCCAAAAAUAAUCGGAUUAUUCUGCGCCUAUGGUACUAAGCACUAAUCCAGAUCACCUAACCGUAUGACAGAACUACUAAUACCUGGAGAAAACAGUUGCAGAUUUUCUCUCAAUGAAAGAGAAAAUUUCAGAAGAGUUAUUUGUUGACAUUUAUCGCAAUUGUAUCACCGAUCAAGCUUUUUAUACGGAUUCGAAACGGAAUUGAAUGCUAGUAAAUUAACGGAAGCAGAAACCGGGUGGGUGAAAUCAACACUCGGUUGCCCAUUCGAUGGAAAAGAAACAAGCGUUUGGAGGAAACAUUCGCACAGCAGCAGGAAGAAAUGGAACAUUUGUACGGCAACAGUCUGGUACCGAUGCCGCCACAUUCGCCACAAGCGCAUGAUUUGCUCCAGAUCGGUUCGACCCGUAGCAGUAUUUCAU
This is an RNA transcript of Malaya genurostris, 7836 nucleotides long. It is a transcript of the gene named serine/threonine-protein kinase 10, with no coding region annotated. The transcript is spliced from 18 exons. The record is from RefSeq and is a predicted model, not a curated record. NCBI's taxonomy places the organism in Eukaryota, Metazoa, Arthropoda, Insecta, Diptera, Culicidae.